CUUGCCUCUAUAUAAGUACUAAUCAUCUAUGGUAUUAUAGUGGUGCAAUGUCCAAGGUUGAAAAACCAUUCAUCAUAUAUGAGCAGGAAGAUGGGUCUUGUGAUGUUUUGGACAGGAAGGUUAUGAGCGAAUAGGUUAAUAUGUCAUCAGUUGGAGUUAUUUGAUGAGAGGCAAGGACAUGUCGAUUGGUGAUCUUUGUGUUUUUAAAUAGUCAAAGAGCAAAGGGAAGAUAUUGGUUGCAAAACCUCCAAAACAUGUAGCAUGAGUUUAAAAUUGUCAAAAUUUAUGGUGGAGAAAAGGGAAGGAAGAUACUUUUGAGGUUAAAAGUGUUAUUUUAAUACUUUUAUUUGUUGUUAAUUAAAUUUUCCUACCCGGACAUGUCCGGGUUAUAACCUAGU
This 398-nucleotide long non-coding RNA is filed under the name Helianthus annuus (common sunflower). RNAcentral's name for it is "hypothetical non coding rna". The record is from RNAcentral. Lineage: Eukaryota; Viridiplantae; Streptophyta; Magnoliopsida; Asterales; Asteraceae.